This 69-nucleotide transfer RNA is filed under the name Trichonephila clavata. It matches the Rfam family "tRNA". From Rfam's summary of the family: Transfer RNA (tRNA) molecules are approximately 80 nucleotides in length. Their secondary structure includes four short double-helical elements and three loops (D, anti-codon, and T loops). Further hydrogen bonds mediate the characteristic L-shaped molecular structure. tRNAs have two regions of fundamental functional importance: the anti-codon, which is responsible for specific mRNA codon recognition, and the 3' end, to which the tRNAs corresponding amino acid is attached (by aminoacyl-tRNA synthetases). tRNAs cope with the degeneracy of the genetic code in two manners: having more than one tRNA (with a specific anti-codon) for a particular amino acid; and 'wobble' base-pairing, i.e. permitting non-standard base-pairing at the 3rd anti-codon position. Lineage: Eukaryota; Metazoa; Arthropoda; Arachnida; Araneae; Nephilidae. The record is from Rfam by way of RNAcentral.
GCAUCGGUGUUCAGUGGUAGAAUGCUCGCCUGCCACGCGGGCGCCCGGGUUCGAUUCCCGGCCGAUGCA